GGAUUAGAUACCCGGGUAGUCCACGCCGUAAACGAUGAUAACUAGCUGUCCGGGCACAUGGUGCUUGGGUGGCGCAGCUAACGCAUUAAGUUAUCCGCCUGGGGAGUACGGUCGCAAGAUUAAAACUCAAAGGAAUUGACGGGGGCCUGCACAAGCGGUGGAGCAUGUGGUUUAAUUCGAAGCAACGCGCAGAACCUUACCAGCUUUUGACAUCCCGAUCGCGAUUAGCAGAGAUGCUUUUCUUCAGUUCGGCUGGAUCGGUGACAGGUGCUGCAUGGCUGUCGUCAGCUCGUGUCGUGAGAUGCUGGGUUAAGUCCCGCAACGAGCGCAACCCUCGUCCUUAGUUGCCAUCAUUUAGUUGGGCACUCUAAGGAAACUG
Molecule: ribosomal RNA, 379 nt
Filed under: uncultured bacterium
Lineage: Bacteria
Description: bacterial SSU rRNA
Rfam family: Bacterial small subunit ribosomal RNA
Source: RNAcentral